Molecule: ribosomal RNA, 455 nt
Filed under: uncultured bacterium
Lineage: Bacteria
Description: bacterial SSU rRNA
Rfam family: Bacterial small subunit ribosomal RNA
Source: RNAcentral
AACGAACGCUGGCGGCAUGCCUAACACAUGCAAGUCGAACGAGACCUUCGGGUCUAGUGGCGCACGGGUGCGUAACGCGUGGGAAUCUGCCCUUGGGUUCGGAAUAAACUCAGAGAAAUUUGAGCUAAUACCGGAUGAUGACGUAAGUCCAAAGAUUUAUCGCCCAAGGAUGAGCCCGCGUAGGAUUAGCUAGUUGGUGAGGUAAAGGCUCACCAAGGCGACGAUCCUUAGCUGGUCUGAGAGGAUGAUCAGCCACACUGGGACUGAGACACGGCCCAGACUCCUACGGGAGGCAGCAGUGGGGAAGUAUUGGACAAUGGGCGAAAGCCUGAUCCAGCAAUGCCGCGUGAGUGAUGAAGGCCUUAGGGUUGUAAAGUCCUUUUAACGGGGAAGAUAAUGACGGUACCCGUAGAAUAAGCCCCGGCUAACUUCGUGCCAGCAGCCGCCGCCGUAAC